RNAcentral lists this ribosomal RNA (253 nucleotides) under uncultured bacterium. RNAcentral's name for it is "partial 16S ribosomal RNA". It matches the Rfam family "Bacterial small subunit ribosomal RNA", at positions 524 to 776 of the family's 1533-position model. The record is from RNAcentral.
UACGGAGGGUGCAAGCGUUAUCCGGAUUCACUGGGCUUAAAGGGUGCGUAGGCGGGCAGAUAAGUCAGUGGUGAAAUCUCCGGGCCUAACUCGGAAACUGCCGUUGAUACUAUUUGUCUUGAAUACUGUGGAGGUAAGCGGAAUAUGUCAUGUAGCGGUGAAAUGCUUAGAGAUGACAUAGAACACCAAUUGCGAAGGCAGCUUACUACACAGCGAUUGACGCUGAGGCACGAAGGCGUGGGGAUCAAACAGG